Molecule: ribosomal RNA, 515 nt
Filed under: uncultured bacterium
Lineage: Bacteria
Description: partial 16S ribosomal RNA
Rfam family: Bacterial small subunit ribosomal RNA
Source: RNAcentral
GAUGAACGCUGGCGGCGUGCCUAAUACAUGCAAGUCGAGCGAAUGGAUUAAGAGCUUGCUCUUAUGAAGUUAGCGGCGGACGGGUGAGUAACACGUGGGUAACCUGCCCAUAAGACUGGGAUAACUCCGGGAAACCGGGGCUAAUACCGGAUAACAUUUUGAACCGCAUGGUUCGAAAUUGAAAGGCGGCUUCGGCUGUCACUUAUGGAUGGACCCGCGUCGCAUUAGCUAGUUGGUGAGGUAACGGCUCACCAAAGCAACGAUGCGUAGCCGACCUGAGAGGGUGAUCGGCCACACUGGGACUGCGACACGGCCCAGACUCCUACGGGAGGCAGCAGUAGGGAAUCUUCCGCAAUGGACGAAAGUCUGACGGAGCAACGCCGCGUGAGUGAGGAAGGCUUUCGGGUCGUAAAACUCUGUUGUUAGGGAAGAACAAGUGCUAGUUGAAUAAGCUGGCACCUUGACGGUACCUAACCAGAAAGCCACGGCUAACUACGUGCCAGCAGCCGCCGUAA